Molecule: unclassified non-coding RNA, 207 nt
Filed under: air metagenome
Description: partial contains small subunit ribosomal RNA, internal transcribed spacer 1, and 5.8S ribosomal RNA
Rfam family: Eukaryotic small subunit ribosomal RNA (bases 1-46)
Source: RNAcentral
AAGUCGUAACAAGGUUUCCGUAGGUGAACCUGCGGAAGGAUCAUUAAUGAAAAUGCAAAGGAGUCUGAUGCUGGCGCUUUGGCGCAUUCGUGCUCGACUCUGAUCCAUUUACACACACCGUGCACACAUCUUUUCACCAACGCAUGAACAGUCACACAUUUUGAUUAAAUCUAAUUACAACUUUCAACAACGGAUCUCUUGGCUCUC